RNAcentral lists this ribosomal RNA (253 nucleotides) under uncultured prokaryote. RNAcentral's name for it is "partial 16S ribosomal RNA". It matches the Rfam family "Bacterial small subunit ribosomal RNA", at positions 525 to 777 of the family's 1533-position model. The record is from RNAcentral.
ACGUAGGGACCAAGCGUUGUUCGGAUUUACUGGGCGUAAAGGGCGCGUAGGCGGCCUUCUAAGUCGGACGUGAAAUCCCCGGGCUCAACCCGGGAACUGCGUCCGAGACUGGAAGGCUCGAAUCCGGGAGAGGGAUGUGGAAUUCCAGGUGUAGCGGUGAAAUGCGUAGAUAUCUGGAGGAACACCGGUGGCGAAGGCGGCAUCCUGGACCGGUAUUGACGCUGAGGCGCGAAAGCCAGGGGAGCAAACGGGA